CCUACGGGAGGCAGCAGUGAGGAAUAUUGGUCAAUGGACGAGAGUCUGAACCAGCCAAGUAGCGUGAAGGAUGACUGCCCUAUGGGCUGUAAACUUCUUUUAUAUGGGAGUAAAAUGUUCCACGUGUGGGAGUUUGUAUGGACCAUAUGAAUAAGGAUCGGCUAACUCCGUGCCAGCAGCCGCGGUAAUACGGAGGUUCCGGCCGUUAUCCGGGUUUAUUGGGUUUAAAGGGGGCGUAGGUGGAUUGUUAAGUCCGUUGUGAAAGUUUGCGGCUCAACCGUGAAAUUGCAGUUGAAACUGGCAGUCUUGAGUACAGUAGAGGUGGGCGGAAUUCGUGGUGUAGCGGUGAAAUGCAUAGAUAUCACGAAGAACUCCGAUUGCGAAGGCAGCUCACUGGACUGCAACUGACACUGAGGCUCGAAAGUGUGGGUAUCAAACAGGAUGAGAUACCCCAGUAGUC
Molecule: ribosomal RNA, 460 nt
Filed under: uncultured bacterium
Lineage: Bacteria
Description: partial 16S ribosomal RNA
Rfam family: Bacterial small subunit ribosomal RNA
Source: RNAcentral